GGGCAUAUGGCGGAGUCUGGUCUAACGCGUUGUGCUUAAGACACAAUGUUCCUGGAACGCGUGGGUUCGAAUCCCACUGUGCCCA
This 85-nucleotide transfer RNA is filed under the name Lobosporangium transversale. It matches the Rfam family "tRNA". Rfam says of the family: Transfer RNA (tRNA) molecules are approximately 80 nucleotides in length. Their secondary structure includes four short double-helical elements and three loops (D, anti-codon, and T loops). Further hydrogen bonds mediate the characteristic L-shaped molecular structure. tRNAs have two regions of fundamental functional importance: the anti-codon, which is responsible for specific mRNA codon recognition, and the 3' end, to which the tRNAs corresponding amino acid is attached (by aminoacyl-tRNA synthetases). tRNAs cope with the degeneracy of the genetic code in two manners: having more than one tRNA (with a specific anti-codon) for a particular amino acid; and 'wobble' base-pairing, i.e. permitting non-standard base-pairing at the 3rd anti-codon position. Lineage: Eukaryota; Fungi; Mortierellomycota; Mortierellomycetes; Mortierellales; Mortierellaceae. The record is from Rfam by way of RNAcentral.